GGAUUGUAGUUCAGUGGUAGAGUGCUUGCCUAGCAUGUGUGAGGCACUGGGUUUGAUUCUCAGCACCA
Molecule: transfer RNA, 68 nt
Filed under: Marmota monax (woodchuck)
Lineage: Eukaryota; Metazoa; Chordata; Mammalia; Rodentia; Sciuridae
Description: tRNA.Ala
Source: RNAcentral